RNAcentral lists this unclassified non-coding RNA (2650 nucleotides) under Hevea brasiliensis (rubber tree). Lineage: Eukaryota; Viridiplantae; Streptophyta; Magnoliopsida; Malpighiales; Euphorbiaceae. The record is from RNAcentral.
UAAUGUUACAACUAGAUAAGUUCAUGGACGGUUGUUAAAAUUUAUCCGAGUAAUGUAUCAGCUUCUUCAAUUGGUUAAAAUUAUGAAACUGGGAUCUCUUUCCUAUUGCAUUACUAGUAUGAAUUGUGUGUCAUGCUUGCAAGUUGGUAGUAUCACUCUAGCUUCUCUCUUUCAUUUCACUAUGUGUUGUAAGACAUUUUCCUUUUAAUGUUACUUGUUUUUGUUGUGUUAAUUAUUUCAGUGAUUAUUAUAUUGAUCCUCAAAAGUUGGUGGCUAAGAGGGGAAUUGGUAAUAGUUUAAUGGGGAUGUUUUAAUAAUUUCUUUAGCUUUAUAUCUCACAUUUGGCUUUUUAGGUGAGGCUUUCUGUCUGAUAGCAUUUGCAGCAGUAGAGUGGUAGGUGAGAUUACACCUUGCAGUGUUAGUGAUAAUUUAAGUCAAUUGACUUACGCAAUUGGUACCAAAAUAUUUUCCCACUGCUUGUAAGAUAUAUGACAAUGUAUCUCUACUUUUACUGAAGUUGGACCCCUUUGUUUUUUUGUGUAGCUUUUCUCACUUGUCAUCUAUGGAGAAUUUACAAGUGUUCUUUCUCAGGGAGAGAGAUUUUUCUUGGUUGUUAUUUCUUACGAAUUUCCUAUUUAAUACUUUUUGGGUUCAGUCAGUGCUUGGAGAUGAUAGGAUCAAAACAAUCCAUCUUCUUGCUUCCCUAUCUAAUGUCUCUAUCCAGUAUCCACUCAUGGUCAAUAUUCUCCGUUUGGGAAACUGUCUUUAAUGUUGUCCACUUCAUCUUGUACAAGCAUUCUGAUAUGAUGUUGCUGUUGAUAACCUUGUUCAUUUGUGAAAGGGCAUGUAUUGAUUUACAAUUUUGGUGUCUUGACCUCCUAAAAUGUAAGGCUUAAAAUUCAUUGUACCACUAAUUUGAAUGGUUAUUGGUGAGUGGUAAACAUUUUUUGAAUUAUUAAUAUAAUCUGUAUUAAGACCAUAAAUAAAUAUGAUUGCUUUCAUAAUCCUUUCACAUAAACCUGUGCACAAUCACGCGCAUGAAACUAAUCCAUUUAGCAUUUAGAAUAUAGAAUUUAUGAUGAUGAAUGCAAUUCCUUUCAAAUUUGUUGAAACAUAAUGCAUAACCAUAUGGAAAGGGGAUUUUUUCACUUUCUGUUUGCAUAGAGUAGUUAAGCCAUCACUUUUGCUCAUUGAGAUGCUUUUCCUUGAUGCAGAUUGUGGCUUUCUCCUUGAUUUGACUACGGGACAUAAUUAAAGUUUGAAGGGAUAUUGUUAUGGGUCAUAGACAUUUAUUCAGCACAUCCCAAAUUUUCGAGAAUGAACAGGAUCAGAAUUGGAAUCAUAUGCAUAUAGAGCAACCUUAUACAAAUUUGGCACUAGAGGAAACAAUUGAAGCACACGAACUGAACUUGUAAAACUAGGAGCUGCCUUAAUUCCUUUUCGGGGUGCCUUAGAGCUACUUAGCUCUGAUGAUGCGGUUGUAGCUAGAUCUGCAUGUCUCUCAUGAGAGUUUGACAACUAAGUUUAACUUUAGUUUUGAUGGAUUUAUGUUGCAGCCAGGGCCAGUCCUGCAGAGAAUGGUGCUUUCUUUUAUCCUGCAGAAAAUAUGCCUCUUGAAGGAGUGCAUUUUACUUCUCUACGGAACCCUGCACCAAUGUCAAAUGCAUAUAUUUCCUCAAGUAACAGUGUUGAAGUAUCACAUUAUCAACCAGAUGUUUCGGGCCCUUCUCAUGAUCCUUUUCAGCAUUCAUCAACAGAUGGAUCCUUUUGCACAGUUCCAGAAAAUCAUGCACACCAUGCUUCUUCUUCCAAUUAUGACAGACAGACAUUUCAUAGUGUUGAGGGUGGCCUUGUUGACCUUACCAUGGGCAACGGAAGAGGGCCCCACAAGCGAAAAAGCCCUGUAGUCCCUUCUGCAUGUGAAGGGGGCAGUACAAGCAGAUAUUAUGGUGCUGGAAGUUCAUCAGAUACCCCUCUGUCUUGUGAGUUGCAGCAGGAGAAACCAAAUUUAGAUACUCAAUAUAUGGCCUGGGAAUGCAUUAAUAUGACUCCUGGCCAUCGAGGCAAUCUCUCAAUUAGGCCCGAGGAUUCUAUCAGGAAUGUGAGAAGCAGGCCUGCACUUGAUCUGGAAACCAACCUGGCUAGGACCCAUUUAUCUAGCAACUCUUCCCACAAUUCCUAUCCUGCAGGCCACCCAUUUGACCAUUCUAGCUCACUGGAUUUCUCAGGUCAAAGUUCUAGUGCUAUGACACAUGACUGGAGCCAUACUGGAGUGUCUGUUGCUUCUGGAAGGAUGCUAGUUGCAGAUGUUAACGGUUAUAGUCAUGAGACAAACCAUUUCCUUGUUGGAAGCAGCAUAACUAAUGCUUCAGCAGAUGUUAGGGGAUAUCAUCAUGAUUUCAUUUCAAGUAGAAACCCUGUUGCUCCUCAGAGUUUCCAUAGUGCCUCAGCACAUUCUGUAAGAGGCAUUCGCGGUAGCUUUUCUCAGAGACCUAGCCCAACUUUCAGGGCUUCCACCAGCAGUUUGCGCUUGGGGCAUUUGGCACCUUCUGAUGAUGGAAUGCCAUUGGUUGCUGAAAAUUUAUCUUCCAGACAACCAAGGCUAUUAUCCACUGUAGCUUGGCGUAAUAGUGAUAGGAAUGGGAGAUCA